CAAACGCUGGCGGCGUGCCUAACACAUGCAAGUCGUACGAGAAAGUCGGCUUCGGCCGAUGAGUACAGUGGCGCACGGGUGAGUAGCGCGUGGGUAAUCUGCCCCCGGUCAGGAAUAACCCGCCGAAAGGCGGGCUAAUACCCGAUAACACUGACGCUCCGCGGAGCGUCUUUCAAAGAAGGCCUCUGUUUACAAGCUUUCGCCGGAGGAUGAGCCCGCGUACCAUUAGCUAGUUGGCAGGGUAAUGGCCUACCAAGGCUACGAUGGUUAGCUGGUCUGAGAGGAUGGCCAGCCACACUGGAACUGAGACAUGGUCCAGACUCCUACGGGAGGCAGCAGUGAGGAAUCUUGCGCAAUGGGGGAAACCCUGACGCAGCAACGCCGCGUGAGUGAGGAAGGCCUUCGGGUCGUAAAGCUCUGUCAGAUGGGAAGAAAUGGAUGGGGGCUAAUAUCGCCCAUCCUUGACGGUACCAUCAGAGGAAGCACCGGCUAACUCCGUG
RNAcentral lists this ribosomal RNA (500 nucleotides) under uncultured bacterium. RNAcentral describes it as "bacterial SSU rRNA". It matches the Rfam family "Bacterial small subunit ribosomal RNA", at positions 30 to 507 of the family's 1533-position model. The record is from RNAcentral.